RNAcentral lists this ribosomal RNA (436 nucleotides) under uncultured Pseudoflavonifractor sp. RNAcentral describes it as "partial 16S ribosomal RNA". It matches the Rfam family "Bacterial small subunit ribosomal RNA", at positions 341 to 792 of the family's 1533-position model. Lineage: Bacteria; Bacillati; Bacillota; Clostridia; Eubacteriales; Oscillospiraceae. The record is from RNAcentral.
ACGGAAGGCAGCAGUGGGGAAUAUUGGGCAAUGGGCGAAAGCCUGACCCAGCAACGCCGCGUGAAGGGAGAAGGCCUUCGGGUUGUAAACUUCUUUUACCAGGGACGAAGGACGUGACGGUACCUGGAGAAAAAGCCACGGCUAACUACGUGCCAGCAGCCGCGGUAAUACGUAGGUGGCAAGCGUUGUCCGGAUUUACUGGGUGUAAAGGGCGUGUAGGCGGAACUGUAAGUCAGAUGUGAAAUCCCGGGGCUCAACCCCGGAACUGCAUUUGAAACUGCAGUCCUUGAGUAUCGGAGAGGCAAGCGGAAUUCCUAGUGUAGCGGUGAAAUGCGUAGAUAUCAGGCGGAACACCGGUGGCGAAGGCGGCUUGCUGGACAGUAACUGACGUUGAGGCACGAAAGCGUGGGGAGCAAACAGGAUAGAUACCCUGGUA